UAUGUGCCUGUGAUGGUUCUAAAUAUACUUUGAGAUUUGUUUCAAUGACGUAAAUUUCAAGCUGAGGCACUGU
Lotus japonicus is the source of this 73-nucleotide small nucleolar RNA. The record is from RefSeq and is a predicted model, not a curated record. NCBI's taxonomy places the organism in Eukaryota, Viridiplantae, Streptophyta, Magnoliopsida, Fabales, Fabaceae.